Bactrocera dorsalis (oriental fruit fly) is the source of this 1190-nucleotide long non-coding RNA. RefSeq lists it as uncharacterized. NCBI's taxonomy places the organism in Eukaryota, Metazoa, Arthropoda, Insecta, Diptera, Tephritidae. The record is from RefSeq and is a predicted model, not a curated record. The transcript is spliced from 2 exons.
ACUAUUCACUCUGGCAAAACCCUUGCACUGUGCACGAAUUGCAGAAUUUUCCUGUUGGUGCAACAUCACAACAACAAACACACGCAAACAAUUAUUUGCAAUGGCUGUAAAAUAUGUCAGACCAAAACCUAUGUUUAUUUUCGUGCAAUGACACGUAAAAUUGCAACCCUGUUUUAUCUGUCCUUUUACAUAGAGUCAUAUUUCGCUGUUAAAUUGUUGAGAAAGGUAAGUUUUAAAUAUAUUUUUUUAAUUUCUACUUAAAUUAUACAGAUUUGUUACAGUUUUUUGUUAAGAAUGAAGGUGCGCUAAUUCACAAUAGUCAUGCACAAUAGCCAUUCUCAAUAAAUCGACCGAAUCAGCCGUUCAUAUAUCACUAGAUUCUGCAAUGGGUGCUCUCUUGGCCUUGCAUAUUUCAGUAUAGGAUUUUUGCAUUUUGUAUCAUCGUGCAAUCUACAAGAGCAAAUUUUCAUUCUGUGCGUAGCAUACUCUGUCAAAAUGUUCUUCAAUUGGACAAAAUGAACGAAAAAAUGUAUUAAAUCCAUCCAAUUCAACAGAAAUGUAUCUCAUUAAAACAGUACCGAAAGUUUUAUUUGAUUGUUCUCGCAUUCUAUAUUUAACUGCCGUAUCGACAUCGUAAAAAACCAUACACAUCUAGGUAUAACUUGGCGUACAUAGGCUGCAAUAUACAUAUAUUUCUGGACUAGGCAACACUAAGUGUUGCCAGGUGCAAUCUGACAUUUCCAUUGGAAAGUUUGACAUUUUUUAGCAUAACAUCACUCAGAACGUUUUGUCAUUUAAUAGUGAAUUGUUUUAUUUACAGGGAAUUAAAAAAUUCAUCUCGACCAAAAAAUGGAAUUAACUCGUGAACAUUUUUGUGCGAUCAUUUUUCACAACUUUCGACGUGGAUUAUCACGACAAGAGUGCAUCGAUGAACUAAAAUCUUUGUAUGGCUAUGAAGCACCAUCCUAUAGCACUGUGAAAAACUGGUACAACGAAUUCAAUCGUGGCCGACGCUCGCUCAAAGACGAAUUCCAUGAAGGUCGUCCAAAAACAUCCGUUGUGCCAGAAAACAUCGAUGCCGUACGUGAACUGAUAAUGCAAGACCGUCAUGUAACAUACCUUCAGAUAGAGGCAUGCCUAUGCAUUUCUCCCACCAGCAUACAUUCGAUAUUGCAUGAACACCUGGCCGU